AAAAAAAUCUAUUCCUUAUGGCAAAGGAAAGGAAAAUGCACAUCCCAUGGCACACAAUGAUAAUGUGUUAUCAAAAGCUGCAUUGGCCCAACGUGCACGGCGAGAAUGUGAAAAAAAAUCAAAAGCCAUGUUCUGCAUACCAAUUGGGACAACGCCUGCGACGAGAACGAGAAAGAGAAAGAUCGAAGAAAUGUAUUAACCCAAAACAACCUUCUUUAACACCAAAUUGGUAAAAAGAAAAAGAAUUUUUUACCCAAGACAAUCUUGAAUUUUUUACUCUUACUAUUACCACUUUAUUAUAUAGAUUUUAAUUUGUUCACAAUCUAUUUCUGUAGGCCUCCUCCUACAACUCCAUGUAGAAAUGUUGGUGUGGUCAUCCGUGAUGAGCACGACCUUCAUGUUAUCCGUGUUCGUGCGGCAAAAGAUAAAGAAAAGGUCAACCCAAUGUCUAAAGGAAAAGAAAAGAUGGCUCCUUCCGGCAAGAGAAUGACAAAUGUAUGACAAGUGGUAUAUAUUCUUUUUUAAAAAUAUGAUGCA
This is a non-coding RNA of Camellia sinensis, 537 nucleotides long. Lineage: Eukaryota; Viridiplantae; Streptophyta; Magnoliopsida; Ericales; Theaceae. The record is from RefSeq and is a predicted model, not a curated record.